This 68-nucleotide transfer RNA is filed under the name Solenocera melantho. RNAcentral describes it as "tRNA-Phe". It matches the Rfam family "tRNA". Rfam says of the family: Transfer RNA (tRNA) molecules are approximately 80 nucleotides in length. The record is from RNAcentral. Lineage: Eukaryota; Metazoa; Arthropoda; Malacostraca; Decapoda; Solenoceridae.
AUUCACAUAGCUUAUAUAUGAGAGCAUUGCAUUGAAGCUGCAAAGGAAAUAAUUAUUAUUUGUGAAUA